Long non-coding RNA from Talpa occidentalis (Iberian mole), 1378 nucleotides. RefSeq lists it as uncharacterized. NCBI's taxonomy places the organism in Eukaryota, Metazoa, Chordata, Mammalia, Eulipotyphla, Talpidae. The record is from RefSeq and is a predicted model, not a curated record. The transcript has 3 exons.
GUGCGUUGUGGGCUUUAGCCCGUCACUCCCAUCAUUUUUCACCUCUCCGGUUUUGAGCUUAGCGGGCAGGCUUCCGUGUCAAGGGUGUGCUUCACCCAAGGGUCUAAGGGAGGACUUGUAGCUCCUGUUUGCCACUCUUCGCAGUCUCCAAGGUCGCUUUCGUUCCCUGGCUGGCUUCCUUGGUAAAAUCACACAUAUGCUAUUCUUUUUCUCUGUGUUUUAUCACUGCAAGUCAGAUGUGGACUUUCAGCUUCUCGAGAUUGGACUGAGGCCUGUAAAGGAGAGAUUGAAAUGAUUUAUUUAUUUAUGAAUACAAGAACUGGGGUACUGGCCAGAUGUGCGGAGGGUGAGAGGAUUCGCAAGAGUGGGGAGCAGAACAGGCAGUCGGACUGAAAUACACGGCUGAGGGGAACAGCAGGUUUGGGAUCCUUUCCAGUGGGACUGUUACUCAUGAUGCUGAGGAGCAUUCUCUUCGAUGUGAUUUUUGGUGAACACAAGAACAAACCUCUCAGGAAUAUAUGUAGGAGAACUAUUGAGUUACAGAGUCUGUAUAUACUCACUUGAGUAGGUAUUGCUGAACAGUGUUCCAUAGAAGUUUGAUAUUUUUGAUAUUUUUCAUCUUGACCAUUUGGGUGAGUAUGUAGUGGAGUAUCAUUGUCUAUUUAUUAUUUAUUAUUUCUUUUUAAAAAAUGUUAUUUAAAAGAAAGGAAUAUGGUGGGGGGAGAAUUAUGGGGUCCAUACCUAAGGGGAAAAACCAACUACUCUACAGAAAUGAACAACUAUGUAAGAAAAUUUUUUAAAAAAUUAGUAUUUAAUUUACAUUAGUAGUCCAUGAAUGAGUCACUUUUCAUAUGUUUACAAACCAUUUAGAUGUACUCUUUUCUAAAAUGUCUGUUCAAGUCUUUGGCCCAUUGUGUAUUGGGUUGCCUGUCUUUAGCCUCACUGAUUUGUAGAAGUUCUUGAUAUAUUCUGAAUAUUUGACUCUUGUUGGACAUAUGUAUUGCAGCAUUUCUCUCCCUCUCUUUCUCUCUCUCUCUCACUGUUUUAUUAUUUUAUAGUAUGUUUUAUUUGAUAAGCAGAAUUUAAAAAUUGUUAUAUAGUGUAAUUUAUCAGGUGUUUUUCCUUCCUGGUUGGCAUUUUUUAUUAUUUAAAUCUUUUUCCUCUUCAAGUUCAUGGAGAUGUUUGCUUAUGCUUUCUUCCAAAAGUCUUAUUGUUUUACCUUCUACAUUUAGAUAUCAGUUCAUCUGGAAUUGUUUUACUAUGUUGUCUGAGAUCAGGAUUUCCCCCCAAUAGGGACAUUUAACUAAUCCUGCACCACUUAUUAAAAAUAUUAUACUUUCCCCUAGUGCAUUUCUGGCAUGGAUCUGUAUCUGGCAUU